Molecule: ribosomal RNA, 680 nt
Filed under: uncultured Eubacteriales bacterium
Lineage: Bacteria; Bacillati; Bacillota; Clostridia; Eubacteriales
Description: bacterial SSU rRNA
Rfam family: Bacterial small subunit ribosomal RNA
Source: RNAcentral
CGAUGAAACUUUAACAGAACCCUUCGGGGCGAAGAUAAAGUGGAUUAGCGGCGGACGGGUGAGUAACACGUGAGUAACCUGCCUUAGACAUUGGGAUAGCCUCGGGAAACCGGGAUUAAUACCAAAUAAAAUCAUAAUGACACAUGUCAUAACGAUCAAAACUCCGGUGGUCUAAGAUGGACUCGCGUCCCAUUAGCUAGUUGGUAGAGUAAAAGCCUACCAAGGCGACGAUGGGUAGCCGGCCUGAGAGGGUGAACGGCCACAUUGGAACUGAGAAACGGUCCAAACUCCUACGGGAGGCAGCAGUGGGGAAUAUUGCACAAUGGAGGGAACUCUGAUGCAGCGACGCCGCGUGAACGAAGAAGGCUUUCGAGUCGUAAAGUUCUUUUAUAUGGGAAGAUAAUGACGGUACCAUAAGAAAAAGCCCCGGCUAACUACGUGCCAGCAGCCGCGGUAAUACGUAGGGGGCUAGCGUUGUCCGGAAUCACUGGGCGUAAAGGGUUCGCAGGCGGAAAUGCAAGUCAGAUGUAAAAGGCAGUAGCUUAACUACUGUAAGCAUUUGAAACUGCAUAUCUUGAGAAGAGUAGAGGUAAGUGGAAUUUUUAGUGUAGCGGUGAAAUGCGUAGAUAUUAAAAAGAAUACCGGUGGCGAAGGCGACUUACUGGGCUCAUUCUGACGCU